Long non-coding RNA from Pezoporus occidentalis (night parrot), 615 nucleotides. RefSeq lists it as uncharacterized. The transcript is spliced from 3 exons. The record is from RefSeq and is a predicted model, not a curated record. NCBI's taxonomy places the organism in Eukaryota, Metazoa, Chordata, Aves, Psittaciformes, Psittacidae.
UUGUGCCUUGUGUCUGCUGCCUUGCACUUGGAGAAGAAGGGGCAUCCGAAUCCAAGAAACCAAGCAAAGAACACCAUCAGCACAGAGUAUGCCUCUGGCUCACAGGGAUGAGAGGGGAGAUAAAAGAAAUAAAAAAUGAACCAAGCUUUUAAGCAGAAGUUCUAUAGCAUCUUUAAAGGAAGGAGGUAACAGCUAUGUGCAACAUGUCAUUCUCCUGUUGCAUCCUCUUUGCUCCCAUCAGAUCUCCUUUCUUUUAACACCGCAGUGCAUUAUUGCCCCUAUAAGCUAUCAAACAUGAACAACUGAUGGAAAUUUUUUCACCAAGCGGGUCAAUUUCUCUGGCACCUUGGAUAGUUUCCAUCCCUUCAACCAAGGCAGUAUCCCAAGGGCAGGUGAACCCUGAGGGGGACAGGACAAAGUCCUGCUGAGGGGUCUCUCCUCGCAUGGCGGAUCACAGUAAGGAGCUGCACAUGGCCAGACAGAAUGGCCAUGCUGGAGGGUCCUGCAGCACUCCCCACUCCCAGCACCUCUGCCCUGUUCCUCCCCUGUGCUGUGCAGCAUCCCUUGGCUCCCUCUGGGCAUUAGUGGAUCCUCCUCAGUGGGGUUCAUCUCACC